AUGAAACUUAAAAAAGUAGGAAAACAGACGUGCUCCUCCACCCGUGCUGGGGGGCCAUGUGCUCCUCCACCCGUGCUGGGGGGCCAUAUGCUCCUCCACCCGUGCUGGGGGGCCAUGUGCUCCUCCGACCAUGCUGGGGGGCCACAUGCUCCACCACCCGUGCUGGGGGGCCACAUGCUCCUCCGACCAUGCUGGGGGGCCAUGAUUUCCUCCACCCGUGCUGGGGGGCCGUAUGCUCCUCCACCUGUGCUGGGGGGCCAUGUGCUCAUCCACCCGUGGUGGGGGGCCAUGUGCUCCUCCACCCGUGCUGGGGGGCCGUACGCUCCUCCACCCGUGCUGGGGGGCCGUACGCUCCUCCACCCGUGCUGGGGGGCCGUACGCUCCUCCACCCGUGCUGAUGGCAUUGGAGGAAGGUUUUUGCAUAAUGGGAGCAAAAACAGCAGCGAUGCUGCAAAAUAGAAACUCUAGACGUUGAUACUUUUGUAUUUUUGGAGAAAAAGUAAAAAAGAGCGCGGUUGAGAACAGACCAGUCUAUGAAGGACACUGCCACCUAACGCCCAUCUUUACGAGCUCCAACCAGCACUCCAUCAUCGACCUCCAACCGAUGGAGACAAAUCUAUUCUGCUUCCAUUGUUGUCUGGCGGAGGAGAGACUGUGAGAAGUCCCUCCCCCGUCCGCGGCUCCGCCCAGAGCCGCCGCCCUUUGGUCUCCUGCUUCAACCUGCAGGCUCAUUUCUGUUUUAGUAAGAAAAUACACAGCAAGCGCUAUUUGGACGUGAUACCCGGGGUCGCACCGCUGCACCAUCGACUCACAAAGAGGAAGGUGGAGGAGGGGCGACAGAGGGGCCAACCAGGCUCCGCCUCCUCUUGUUAGUUCUCCUCACCCCUAUCCUUGGUAGAAAGCGUGACUUGCUUCGACUUUCUCGAUGAGCGAGGUCAUUCUCGGUGGAGCAGCAGGGCCCCGCCCUCUCUUACGCUGGACGCCAUCGUGUUCUCGUUUCUGUUUAAGACCUUUUUUGAAUUUUCAUUCAUCUUUUUUUUUUUAAUGAAGUAGUGUUUUGAUCAUAUUACUUUCCCUUUCGAUCUGUUACCGCGUGGCGACCAGCUCGCUCAAGUACUAACCAGUACCAGUUACUGCGUCAAACCAGCAGGAGGCGCCCAGGCUGUGAGAGCCUUGGAGCUUGGGCUUCAGGCCGCAGGGGCUUUGGCGCCGCCCGCCGUCUGCGUGAACAUCCGCCUCUCUGCGGGACGACGCCCAAACCUUCGUUGUGUUUCGACGUUUCCUGUCCGACUGAAAUAAUAGCAGUUUAUGUUGCAUGAUUGACCCGCGAGGUCAGAACUUCAUGUUCCUCAGACCCUCGCCACCCGGUUGGUGUCGUGGUUAGAAGGGAACCUGGCGGGGCCAGAGGAACCGGGUCCACCUCUUCCUUCCUUCACCGGUUUGGACGCGUUCGCUGUUGAGGCGCCCUUCACUCGUGUCUGAUGCAUUGUUGUGAUUUGACGGCACAUGGACGCGGCGUCGAGUACAUAUGCAGUAGAUCGCCACAGAACGCCGCUCUCUGAAGGCUGGAAGUGUGGCAGGCCGGACGGGUCGGAGGUGGACGGCGCAAACCCAGGGCCUCCAACAGACGCCUGCCGGUCUGCCGGACUCGACGCACCCCGGGAAAAACACGCAAACCUCCUGACACAUAUCGCUACCUCAACGCAAAACCUCAGCUAGAAGAUUGUUCAGAAGAGAACAGAAUCCAGGACGCUCACGGUUCACUUUAAUUUAUUCGGUUCCUCUCCACCAGAGACGGAACAAACGUUUGGGGUUUGGGUCCGGGCGGGACUGCUGGAGCUGGAGCGCCUGGCCGGGACUCGUCACCGGGUCACCUUGGAGGGGCUUCAAAUCUCGAACCCCACAGAAAGGUCGGCUCCACAGCGCCCCCUGGUACUCUCCUCCGGAACAACACCAGAAAACAUCUCAUCAUUUCGUUGAUCUACCUCUUAGGAAACAAAAUAGAUAAAAGCAGUAAUUUCUCCUUUAUGAAGCUGACAAAAUGCAGAAAAAAAGACAGAAAUUGCUGAGAGAUAUUAUAGUUUAAAGAAUAACCCGGUAGCGGCAUCUCCAUAUACUGUAGUGGAUAGUCUAUUAAAGAAGAACCCUUCCUUCCUCCAAAGAUGAUUGGACUUUUUCCCUCCACUCCUAGAUGAUUUCAGAAGACUCUAAGCGGGGGGGACGAAGCUCGCCGCCUGUGAUGAAUUCAUGUCUUUAAACCCAACAUGCCCCCCGGCUCUGCUGCAGACGAGCUCCGGUCGCCCCCCCGAUCUCCUUGCUUCUGACAGCAGAUUGUAUCUCUUUUGUUCGGGUGCAUUUAGCAUUUCCUCCUCUGUGAAAGCCUUCAUGAGCGCCAGCGCCACUUCCUCUUUCUCUGCUGAUGAAAACAAAAGGACCUGUUUUUGUGCGCUGACUGCGCCGGCGCAGGCCAGAGGAGGAGGGGGCGGGGCCCACAACACCUGUGCCCUCCUCCUCCUCACCUGACGGCGGCGCCGUCUCUAAACAUGUGGACUUUCACCCUCUACCUGCCUGAUUUCUUUAGUCCUCAUCAACACUCGUUUAAUUCCUUGUAAACAAACAGAGCAUAGAUAUGAAUGUGUUAUUAAAAGAUGACCAUGGACGCCUCCGUGUCGUUUGUCGCCUCUUUGAUGAAGAUGAGGAUGAAAAACCUCCGAGGGGCAGAGCCGUCUGUCUGUCUGUGCCGUUCGGAUAGAAAAACGGUUUCUGAUCAUUUUAACUAAACAAAGGUGAAACUUUCAUUAUGAAAACAGAAAAUCUUCUCUAAAAAAUGACUUUUUUACCUGAAAACCGGAAAAAACCCACUUAUUUCUAAGUUUCAAUCAGCUUUAUUCAUCAUUUUUUGAAUUAAAACUAUUAACAGUCAAGAUGCUGAACACAGGGCUCCUCCCCCUGGCGUUCCAAACAGGAAGUAGCCGCUGGUACAAAUGGACAGCGUUACUCAGUAACUCCAUCGAUCCUUUUUCCUUAACGUCUUCUUGAUGAAAACGUUUCUCACAUAUUUCUAUGUCAAAUCAUAAACUCAAAAGUAGGUGGGGCCUGCUGGCCCCCACUUCCAACCUGUAGCACCCUUUCAAGUGGAAGGGGUGUGGCCUUCCAACAAGCUCACUCUUGAUUGGUCAGAGUGCUUGCCGUAGGAACUCAACUUGGGCCAAUCAGUGAUGACGUCUGAUUGGCGGCGACCAUAUUUAUCUUUUAUUGAAGGAUUUCAGAAUACAAUACAAAAAUAUAACAUAAAUACAAAACAAUAUUGUUUUAAACUUUUGAAAUUCUUAAUU
This is a long non-coding RNA of Oryzias sinensis (Chinese medaka), 3335 nucleotides long. Lineage: Eukaryota; Metazoa; Chordata; Actinopteri; Beloniformes; Adrianichthyidae. The record is from Ensembl.